GAUUGAAGUCAGUCGUACCGACGAGAAAUCAGCUUUUCGAGUGCGAACUUGUGGGCGUGCGUGAGUCUUUAACGGGCCUCGCUGUUUGCAAUUUUGUGCUUUUUGAGUGUACUUUUUCGUAUGGUAGGCCAACGUCAGUUUUGAUCACCGUAAAAUGAUCGGAGGAAUGUAGCUUCGAUCUCGCAUUGAAGUGUUAUAGCCUCUGGUAGAUGCGGUGACCGAAACUGAGGAUUGCAACGAAUACCCUUCUGGGCUAUCCGUCUGGCCUUACUGAAAGUUGCUUAGGUGCCGAAAGCGUGCUUACGGCUAUUUAAGUGAC
RNAcentral lists this ribosomal RNA (319 nucleotides) under uncultured Glomeromycotina. RNAcentral's name for it is "LSU rRNA". The record is from RNAcentral. Lineage: Eukaryota; Fungi; Glomeromycota.